GAUGAACGCUGGCGGCGUGCCUAAUACAUGCAAGUCGAGCGAACAGACGAUGAGCUUUCUCCCCUGACGUUAGCGGCGGACGGGCGAGUAACACGUGGAUAACCUACCUAUUAUUCUUGGAUAACUUCGUGAAACCGGUGCCGAUACUGGAUAAUAUAUCGAACCGCAUGGUUCAAUAGUGAAAGACGGUUUUGAUGUCUCUAAUAGAUGGAUUCGCGCCGCAUUAGCUAGUUGGUAAGGUAACGGCAUACCAAGGCGACGAGGCGUAGCUGACCUGAGAGGGUGAUCGGCCACACUGGAACUGAGACACGGUCCAGACUCCUACGGGAGGCAGCAGUGGGGAAUAUUGCGCAAUGGGCGAAAGCCUGACGUAGCUAUACCGCGUGAGUGAUGAAGGUCUUCGGAUUGUAAAACUCUGUUAUUAGGAAAGACCAAAUGUGUAGGUAACUAUGGACGUUUUGACGGUACCUAAUCAGAAAGCCCCGGCUAACUACGUG
RNAcentral lists this ribosomal RNA (497 nucleotides) under uncultured bacterium. RNAcentral describes it as "partial 16S ribosomal RNA". It matches the Rfam family "Bacterial small subunit ribosomal RNA", at positions 28 to 507 of the family's 1533-position model. The record is from RNAcentral.